UACGGAGGGGGCUAGCGUUGUUCGGAAUUACUGGGCGUAAAGCGCACGUAGGCGGCUUUGCAAGUUAGAGGUGAAAGCCCGGAGCUUAACUCCGGAAUUGCCUUUAAAACUGCAUCGCUAGAAUUGUGGAGAGGUGAGUGGAAUUCCGAGUGUAGAGGUGAAAUUCGUAGAUAUUCGGAAGAACACCAGUGGCGAAGGCGACUCACUGGCCCGGUACUGACGCUGAGGUGCGAAAGCGUGGGGAGCAAACAGG
This 253-nucleotide ribosomal RNA is filed under the name uncultured bacterium. RNAcentral's name for it is "partial 16S ribosomal RNA". It matches the Rfam family "Bacterial small subunit ribosomal RNA", at positions 524 to 776 of the family's 1533-position model. The record is from RNAcentral.